Molecule: ribosomal RNA, 468 nt
Filed under: uncultured bacterium
Lineage: Bacteria
Description: partial 16S ribosomal RNA
Rfam family: Bacterial small subunit ribosomal RNA
Source: RNAcentral
GACGAACGCUGGCGGCGUGCUUAACACAUGCAAGUCGAACGGAAAGGCCCUGCUUUUGUGGGGUGCUCGAGUGGCGAACGGGUGAGUAACACGUGAGUAACCUGCCCUUGACUUUGGGAUAACUUCAGGAAACUGGGGCUAAUACCGGAUAGGAGCUCCUGCUGCAUGGUGGGGGUUGGAAAGUUUCGGCGGUUGGGGAUGGACGCGCGGCUUAUCAGCUUGUUGGUGGGGUAGUGGCUUGCCAAGGGUUUGACGGGUAGCCGGCCUGGGAGGGUGACCGGCCACAUUGGGACUGAGAUACGGCCCAGACUCCUACGGGGGGCAGCAGUGGGGAAUAUUGCACAAUGGGCGGAAGCCUGAUGCAGCAACGCCGCGUGCGGGAUGACGGCCUUCGGGUUGUAAACCGCUUUCGCCUGUGACGAAGCGUGAGUGACGGUAAUGGGUAAAGAAGCACCGGCUAACUACGUG